CUCCUUUUCAUUUCUCUCUUCUUCCCGCAACCUCUUCAGAGAUUCCUUGUGCUGCAGCCAUUCCACAUAUAGUUCUGGAUCUGUUGGGCCCCACUUCUGACUCGGAGAUAUCGAUUUUUUGAUUGUCUAAAAUGUAGCUUCUUUAUGAAUAUAUAAGUACCAAAUACCCCACAAGGGAAAUUGAAGAAAUCCAAUUAAGAGCAAUAUCCAGCCGACAACUGCAAUGAUAAAUAUGAAUGCAUUCUUCAUGUACGAGGCUUAAUAUAUGUAUGUAUAUCUGGAUGAUUUCAUAUGAAAGAAGUGGGGUAUGACCACCCUGCAUAUGUUAAAGGUUCCAUGACCGCAAGUGAAUAUAUAAAAAUGACCGCCAAUAGUAAUGGAGUUAUUAUACCCCAACAAAGCCGCCAGUAAAUGGACACUUUUCGGUUGGUCAU
This is a long non-coding RNA of Bactrocera dorsalis (oriental fruit fly), 434 nucleotides long. RefSeq lists it as uncharacterized. The transcript has 3 exons. NCBI's taxonomy places the organism in Eukaryota, Metazoa, Arthropoda, Insecta, Diptera, Tephritidae. The record is from RefSeq and is a predicted model, not a curated record.